Molecule: ribosomal RNA, 482 nt
Filed under: uncultured bacterium
Lineage: Bacteria
Description: bacterial SSU rRNA
Rfam family: Bacterial small subunit ribosomal RNA
Source: RNAcentral
CAGGCCUAACACAUGCAAGUCGAGCGGCAGCGGGAAAGUAGCUUGCUACUUUUGCCGGCGAGCGGCGGACGGGUGAGUAAUGCCUGGGGAUCUGCCCAGUCGAGGGGGAUAACUACUGGAAACGACUGCUAAUACCGCAUACGCCCUACGGGGGAAAGCAGGGGACCUUCGGGCCUUGCGCGAUUGGAUGAACCCAGGUGGGAUUAGCUAGUUGGUGAGGUAAUGGCUCACCAAGGCGACGAUCCCUAGCUGGUCUGAGAGGAUGAUCAGCCACACUGGAACUGAGACACGGUCCAGACUCCUACGGGAGGCAGCAGUGGGGAAUAUUGCACAAUGGGGGAAACCCUGAUGCAGCCAUGCCGCGUGUGUGAAGAAGGCCUUCGGGUUGUAAAGCACUUUCAGCGAGGAGGAAAGGUUGGUAGCUAAUAACUGCCAGCUGUGACGUUACUCGCAGAAGAAGCACCGGCUAACUCCGUGCCAGC